This 1347-nucleotide long non-coding RNA is filed under the name Accipiter nisus (Eurasian sparrowhawk). Its description in RNAcentral is "lncRNA (ENSANIG00000004136.1)". The record is from RNAcentral. Lineage: Eukaryota; Metazoa; Chordata; Aves; Accipitriformes; Accipitridae.
UUUCUCUCACGUGUUCUCACUCCUCUCUCCAGCUGCAGUUUCUGUUCCACAGCAAUUUUUCCCCUCCAUAAAUGUCAUCCUAGAGCUGCAACCACCAGCUCUGAUGGGCUCGGCCUUGGCCAGUGGUGGGUCCAUCUUGGAGCUGGCUGGCAUUGGCUCUGUUGGACACAGGGGAAGCUUCUAGCAGCUUCUCACAGAAGCCACCCCUGUAGCCCCUACACUACCAAACCUUGCUGUGCAAAUCCAAUACAAAUGCACUGUUAAGAUCUUAGUUUGCGUGGACAAAUGAUUCACCUUUUCCUAGUACUUUUUGCUACAUAGGCAGCAUUGAAGCCUGCGUUAACAUACAUUAUGUCCAUUUAGCAAAAGGCAAGCACCAUGAUGGGGGGAUGACACCUCUCCAAAACACUGGGUUUUUUGGAGACCGGCUCACUAUGGCUCGGUGAGGAGAUGAACACGGUCAGUACUCCACGAGGCCGUCCUCCAGAUCCUCGUCUCUCCAUUUACUCCUCCUGCAAGCUGGGAACUGGAGACACGCACGGCACUCGCCUAAGCAGCCCAGAAGCGAAGCCCGCGUAACUCAAGCCUGCAGCGGCAGGCGGGAACCACCAGGGAUCAGGAGAUCACCGAAGAUCGACUCCGGCCGGCCGGGGCGCCUCAGAGACCGAGCUCCCGCACCGGCCGCCAGCCUGCAAGUGACUGCCGCAAGCCAGGGCCACCGAUGCCGCCACUGGGCUGACGGAGCGCUCGCCGAUGCGGAGCGAGGGCUGCACGCACUAACCCCUUACCAACGUAAGGCUCAACGCCACGGUCCCAGGGAAGACCGGCCCGGGGAGAAGAACCGCUCCCCGCAAACCAAGACACGGGCGGAGGCGCGGAACCGAAGGACCGCCGCCACACGCUCCGUGGCCCAAAGGGACGCCGGCGCUCGGCCGGCGCCUCAGCGGCAGGGCAGGGCAGGGCCCCGCGGGCUGACAGACGCCCGCCGCCGCUCCGACGACAGAGCAUGCGCAGCGCUCUUCGCCAACGGAGGCCGUGCCAUUAAGGCGGCUGCCCCCGCGCCGUGCCCGCUGCGCCUGCGUCACCUCCCUCCCCGCCGGCCGGGCGGCUGCACUGCGCCUGCGCGGCUCCGGCGGGGGCGGGGAGCCGGAGCCUGCGCGGUUGCCGGGGUGACGGGAACACAACAUGGCGCGCUGAGGGCCUGGCGGCCGGGAGGUGUUCGGCGGUCGGGAGGGCGCCCGGUCGCUCUCUCGCUCACCCCGAGACCUGCAGGCGAGCGCAGGAUGAACAGGCUGGCUUUGACAUUAUAUGAACAUAAAACAUAGCCAGUGUGUAUCUGACUGAUUG